AGAGUUUGAUCCUGGCUCAGGAUGAACGCUGGCGGCGUGCUUAACACAUGCAAGUCGAACGAUGAAAGCGGGAGCUUGCUCCUGCUGGAUUAGUGGCGAACGGGUGAGUAACACGUGAGUAACCUGCCCUUGACUCUGGGAUAAGCGUUGGAAACGACGUCUAAUACCGGAUACGACCUUCGGAGGCAUCUCCUGGGGGUGGAAAGAAUUUCGGUCAAGGAUGGACUCGCGGCCUAUCAGCUAGUUGGUGAGGUAAUGGCUCACCAAGGCGACGACGGGUAGCCGGCCUGAGAGGGUGACCGGCCACACUGGGACUGAGACACGGCCCAGACUCCUACGGGAGGCAGCAGUGGGGAAUAUUGCACAAUGGGCGCAAGCCUGAUGCAGCAACGCCGCGUGAGGGACGACGGCCUUCGGGUUGUAAACCUCUUUUAGUAGGGAAGAAGCGAAAGUGACGGUACCUGCAGAAAAAGCACCGGCUAACUACGUG
Molecule: ribosomal RNA, 490 nt
Filed under: uncultured bacterium
Lineage: Bacteria
Description: bacterial SSU rRNA
Rfam family: Bacterial small subunit ribosomal RNA
Source: RNAcentral